GGGGCUUGCUAUUGGUGAUUUGUAAAUACGCCCUACAGGGUGUGGUUUGUGGUGUUUAAAAACCCUUGUUUCAAGGCGGUCUGAUCACUUUUUUAUCCUCCGUUUUUAGCUAAGGUACUAGCUAAAAA
Molecule: long non-coding RNA, 128 nt
Organism: Sander lucioperca (pikeperch)
Lineage: Eukaryota; Metazoa; Chordata; Actinopteri; Perciformes; Percidae
Exons: 3
Source: RefSeq, a predicted model, not a curated record